RNAcentral lists this ribosomal RNA (468 nucleotides) under uncultured bacterium. RNAcentral describes it as "partial 16S ribosomal RNA". It matches the Rfam family "Bacterial small subunit ribosomal RNA", at positions 28 to 507 of the family's 1533-position model. The record is from RNAcentral.
GACGAACGCUGGCGGCGUGCUUAACACAUGCAAGUCGAACGGAAAGGCCCUGCUUUUGUGGGGUGCUCGAGUGGCGAACGGGUGAGUAACACGUGAGUAACCUGCCCUUGACUUUGGGAUAACUUCAGGAAACUGGGGCUAAUACCGGAUAGGAGCUCCUGCUGCAUGGUGGGGGUUGGAAAGUUUCGGCGGUUGGGGAUGGACUCGCGGCUUAUCAGCUUGUUGGUGGGGUAGUGGCUUACCAAGGCUUUGACGGGUAGCCGGCCUGAGAGGGUGACCGGCCACAAUGGGACUGAGAGACGGCCCAGACUCCUACGGGAGGCAGCAGUGGGGAAUAUUGCACAAUGGGCGGAAGCCUGAUGCAGCAACGCCGCGUGCGGGAUGACGGCCUUCUGGUUGUAAACCGCUUUCGCCUGUGACGAAGCGUGAGUGACGGUAAUGAGUAAAGAAGCACCGGCUAACUACGUG